RNAcentral lists this long non-coding RNA (1755 nucleotides) under Leptinotarsa decemlineata (Colorado potato beetle). RNAcentral describes it as "uncharacterized LOC111516672". Lineage: Eukaryota; Metazoa; Arthropoda; Insecta; Coleoptera; Chrysomelidae. The record is from RNAcentral.
AAACGUUUCAGAAAUAGUUGAGAUUUUCAAACUUCUAAAACGCAAACAAGGCAAGCGAGUAUAUAUUAUUCGGUUGCGGUUAGAUUCUCAUGAGCAGAACACAGAUGUAUCAUUCGAUUACCGCCAGAUGGGUACGUGUUUUUGCCAAAUUCUCAUUCCAUUUAACAAAUUUUUUUAUUGUUUCGUAUUAUUAUGAAAUUUUAUUUUUAUUUUCAGGUACCACAAAUCAAUUUGUCCCAAGUAUCUAAAGAUCUAAUUACCGUAUUGCAUGAUGCAGAAGCUUCACGAAAAAUUAUACUGCACAUGGAUAACUGGAAUAAUAGAAACGUUUCGGAAAUAGUUGAGAUUUUCAAACUUCUAUAACGCAAACAAGGCAAGCGAGUGUAUAUUAUUCGGUUGCGGUUAGAUUCUCAUGAGCAGAACACAGAUGUACCAUUGGAUUACCGCCAGAUGAGUAGGUGUUUUUGCCAAAUUCUCAUUUCAUUUAACAAAUUUUUUUAUUGUAUCGUAUCAAUAUGUGAUUUUUAUUUUUAUUUUCAGGCACUACAAAUCAAUUUGUCCCAAGUACCUAGAGAUCUAAUUACCGUAUUGCAUGAUGCAGAAGCUUUACAAAAAAUUAUACUGCACAUGGAUAGCUGGAUUGAUAAAAACGUUUCAGAAAUAGUUGAUAUUUUCAAACUUCUAAAACGCAAACAAGGCAAGCGAGUGUAUAUUAUUCGGGUUGCGUCUAGAUUUUCAUACGCAGAACACAGAUGUACCAUUCAAUUACCGACACAUGAGUACCACAAAUCAAUUUGUUUCAAGUAUCUAAAGAUCUAAUUACCGUAUUGCAUGAUGCAGAAGCUUUACAAAAAAUUAUACUACACAUGGAUAACUGGAUUAAUGGAAACGUUUCAGAAAUAGUUGAGGUUUUCAAACUUCUGAAACGCAAACAAGGCAAGCGAGUGUAUAUUAUUCGGUUGCGGUUAGAUUCUCAAGAGCAGAACACAGAUGUACCAUUCGAUUACCGCCGGACGAGUACUACAAAUCAAUUUGUCUCAAGUAUCUGAAGAUCUAAUCACUGUAUUGCAUACUGCAGAAGCUUUACAAAAAAUUAUACUGCACAUGGAUAACUGGAAUAAUGGAAACGUUUCAGAAAUAGUUGAGAUUUUCAAACUUCUAAAACGCAAGCAAGGCAAGCGAGUGUAUAUUAUACGGUUGCGGUUAGAUUCUCAUGAGCAGAACACAGAUGUACCAUUCGAUUACCGCCAGAUGGGUACUACAAAUCAAUUUGUCCCAAGUAUCUCAAGAUCUAAUUACCGUAUUGCAUGAUGCAGAAGCUUUACAAAAAUUAUACUGCACAUUGAUAACUGGAUUAAUGGAAACGUUUCAAAAAUAGUUGAGAUUUUCAAACUUCUAAAACGCAAACAAGGCAAGCGAGUGUAUAUUAUUCGGUUGCGGUUAGAUUCUCAUGAGCAAAACACAGAUGUACGUAACUGCUUUACAGAUACCUUCUUCACCCCCGUACGGUUUCCUCUCAGUUCAGAGACUUUUAAGCGGAGUGGGAGAUAACCGGCGCCAAGGAGGAUUUUUUUAAGGAAAUCAUCGAACUGUUGCAACAUUUUUCCAGUUACAAUCAAAGUUUUGCUCCUGUCGCCAAUACAUACAGUGGACAUUGUUUAAUACUUUUUGAACACUACAUUAUCACCGUGAACUGCCAAUAAAGGAGAUAUUUGAUAUUCUCAACGAUACAUUGUUGAAUUCAGAAUUGAGAGG